UCAAAUGCAAUGACGAGGAGGAGUACAUAUCUCCCGAAAGUAUAGAGAGAAGAUGGAUGGUGAAAAUCUUUGUUUCGGAUUUAUGGAAGUAGCCUUUGAGCAGUGAACCGAAAGAGAAGCAAAAGUCAGCAUAUGACAGCAGAUUGUAUCAUCUGAGAUGAAAAGCUUUUUUAGUAGACUUCAACGGAAUUCCACCGUUACAGGGAAUGCAAUAUUAAUGAUAUGAUCAGCGUGUUGUAUGAGUGCAAGGAGUAAUCUUUGAAAUUAGGUGGUACCGCGGAAUAGUUCGCCCUAAGU
RNAcentral lists this non-coding RNA (297 nucleotides) under Clostridium sp. RNAcentral describes it as "T-box sequence". It matches the Rfam family "T-box leader". Rfam says of the family: Uncharged tRNA acts as the effector for transcription antitermination of genes in the T-box leader family. T-boxes are found upstream of many aminoacyl-tRNA synthetase genes and some amino acid biosynthetic genes usually in Gram-positive bacteria. The record is from RNAcentral. Lineage: Bacteria; Bacillati; Bacillota; Clostridia; Eubacteriales; Clostridiaceae.